AGGUGGUUCUUCCAAACCACAAACACGUCUCAGAAGUAGUUGAAUCAUCUGAAGAAGCCUCAGAAAUUGGAUUUUCUCUAGUGCAGAAGUUCAGACUCUGAAACACUUGUUGUCACAACUGGAUUCUAAAUCUACCACUGCUACCUCCUCUAAUUUUGUUAAGUCAGGUAUUUCUUUCUUUGCUAAUUUUGAUAAAUCAUCUUGGGUUAUAGAUUCAGAAGCAAACAAGCAUAUGACAGGUUCUUUAAACAAAAUUUUGACUUACUCUCUAUGUUCAAGGAAAGAAAAAGUCCGCCUAGCGGACGAGUCUUCGACAUCUAUUUCUGGG
Molecule: unclassified non-coding RNA, 328 nt
Filed under: Hevea brasiliensis (rubber tree)
Lineage: Eukaryota; Viridiplantae; Streptophyta; Magnoliopsida; Malpighiales; Euphorbiaceae
Source: RNAcentral